UACGUAGGUGGCAAGCGUUGUCCGGAUUUAUUGGGCGUAAAGCGAGCGCAGGCGGUUCCUUAAGUCUGAUGUGAAAGCCCACGGCUCAACCGUGGAAGGUCAUUGGAAACUGGGGAACUUGAGUGCAGAAUAGGAGAGUGGAAUUCCAUGUGUAGCGGUGAAAUGCGUAGAUAUAUGGAGGAACACCAGUGGCGAAGGCGACUCUCUGGUCUGUAACUGACGCUGAGGCGCGAAAGCGUGGGGAGCAAACAGGAUUAGA
RNAcentral lists this ribosomal RNA (259 nucleotides) under uncultured prokaryote. Its description in RNAcentral is "partial 16S ribosomal RNA". It matches the Rfam family "Bacterial small subunit ribosomal RNA", at positions 524 to 782 of the family's 1533-position model. The record is from RNAcentral.